AGGAUGAACGCUAGCGGCAGGCUUAACACAUGCAAGUCGAGGGGCAGCGGGAUGUAGCAAUACAUUGCCGGCGACCGGCGGAUGGGUGCGUAACGCGUAUGCAACCUACCUCAUACAGGGGAAUAACCUUUCGAAAGGGAGACUAACACCCCAUGGUAUUGAUUUAAGGCAUCUUAGAUUAAUUAAAUAUUUAUAGGUAUGAGAUGGGCAUGCGUAUGAUUAGCUAGUUGGUAAGGUAACGGCUUACCAAGGCGACGAUCAUUAGGGGUUCUGAGAGGAAGGUCCCCCACACUGGUACUGAGACACGGACCAGACUCCUACGGGAGGCAGCAGUGAGGAAUAUUGGUCAAUGGGCGCAAGCCUGAACCAGCCAUGCCGCGUGCAAGGAAGACGGCCUUAUGGGUUGUAAACUGCUUUUACAUAAGACUAACCGUAUAUUUGCGAAUAUACCUGAAUGUAUUAUGAGAAUAAGGAUCGGCUAACUCCGUGCCAGCCGCCGC
RNAcentral lists this ribosomal RNA (500 nucleotides) under uncultured bacterium. Its description in RNAcentral is "bacterial SSU rRNA". It matches the Rfam family "Bacterial small subunit ribosomal RNA", at positions 26 to 518 of the family's 1533-position model. The record is from RNAcentral.